CCUACGGGAGGCAGCAGUGGGGAAUAUUGGGCAAUGGGCGCAAGCCUGACCCAGCAACGCCGCGUGAAGGAAGAAGGCAUUCGGGUUGUAAACUUCUUUUCUCAGGGACGAAGAAAGUGACGGUACCUGAGGAAUAAGCCACGGCUAACUACGUGCCAGCAGCCGCGGUAAUACGAAGGUGGCAAGCGUUAUCCGGAUUUACUGGGUGUAAAGGGCGUGUAGCCGGGAAGGCAAGUCAGAUGUGAAAUCUGGAGGCUCAACCUCCAAAUUGCAUUUGAAACUGUUUGUCUUGAGUACUGGAGAGGCAGACGGAAUUCCUUGUGUAGCGGUGAAAUGCGUAGAUAUAAGGAGGAACACCAGUGGCGAAGGCGGUCUGCUGGACAGCAACUGACGGUGAGGCGCGAAAGCGUGGGGAGCAAACAGGAUUAGAUACCCCUGUAGUC
Molecule: ribosomal RNA, 443 nt
Filed under: uncultured bacterium
Lineage: Bacteria
Description: partial 16S ribosomal RNA
Rfam family: Bacterial small subunit ribosomal RNA
Source: RNAcentral